UACGUAGGUGGCAAGCGUUGUCCGGAUUUACUGGGCGUAAAGGGCUCGUAGGCGGCCAACUAAGUCAGACGUGAAAUCCCCAGGCUUAACCUGGGAACUGCAUCCGAUACUGGAUGGCUUGAAUCCGGGAGAGGGAUGCAGAAUUCCUGGUGUAGCGGUGAAAUGCGCAGAUAUCAGGAGGAACACCAAUGGCGAAGGCAGCUCGCUGGGACGGUACUGACGCUGAGGCGCGAAAGCGUGGGGAGCAAACAGG
This 253-nucleotide ribosomal RNA is filed under the name uncultured bacterium. RNAcentral describes it as "partial 16S ribosomal RNA". It matches the Rfam family "Bacterial small subunit ribosomal RNA", at positions 524 to 776 of the family's 1533-position model. The record is from RNAcentral.